Molecule: long non-coding RNA, 972 nt
Filed under: Coturnix japonica (Japanese quail)
Lineage: Eukaryota; Metazoa; Chordata; Aves; Galliformes; Phasianidae
Description: lncRNA (ENSCJPG00005005634.1)
Source: RNAcentral
GGGAGUUUGACGUAGAUGAUGAUUCAAUAAAUUAAUUACCACUCUGCAAAUUAGGGAGUGAAUUGUGAACGUGUUAGCCUGAGUUGCUUGUUCUUAGCCUGAGGAUAAGGCUCCCUGUGCAUUUUGUUUCUCCCUUGCUAUCAGCCUUGAAUAUGUUAAUCCUCUCCCUAAAACACACACACACACACACACACACACACUGACAUUCCUACUCCCUCAUCAGGAACAGCACGAUUUGCAAUAUUGAAUUGAUUGCUUCAGGGAACAGAUCUGUGCUUGAGAUAACUGGCAGAGCACAAAGCCAUUUCCUACCUGCGCCUGUGGAGUGGCUGCUCAGGGUGAGGGGAAGAGGGAUGUUGUCGGGUGGAAACCAGGAGCCGGCUGCUGCCGGCAGCAGGACUGCCCUAACAGCAGCCAGAGUAGCUUUGUUGGCAGGAACACACAAAAGGAACCUCUGUGAAGCUGAAGUGGCUGAGCCCAUCCGGGCUGAAGGGCUCUUAUCUCACAUUUCUGAGGCAGUGUCAGCCAACCUGGAGCAUAAUCCUGGCCUCCAGCAACUUGGUGUUUGCUAUCCUGUUAUCAUCCUCAGCUGCUACAUGGCAACCAACACAUGGGGAUCUGGACCUUCAAAGGAUACUUUCAGUCAUGAAGGAGAGUGAAAUAAGUUGACCAGAGCAUUAGAAUCCAGAGGAGGGCUGCGAGGACAAUCAUGGGCUGGAACACCUCUCCUGUGAAGGAAGGUUGAUGGAGCUGGAUUUGUUCAGCCUGGAGAAGAGAGGACCUCAAAAGUAUCCUUCCAAUAUCUAAAGGGAAAUAGUCAGAUAGAUAGUCAGGUGCCUAGAGAUGUGCAGUUAAUGGAAGAGGGUGGGACUAGAUUCCUUUUGCAGUUUUGUAUAUUCUUGUAGUGUCUCUACACUUAAGCCCCAAGCUGCCUUUGUACAGCUGGUCCACUCAGGUAGUCUUACAUCACGG